This 176-nucleotide unclassified non-coding RNA is filed under the name uncultured Boletales. RNAcentral's name for it is "sequence contains ITS2". Lineage: Eukaryota; Fungi; Basidiomycota; Agaricomycetes; Boletales. The record is from RNAcentral.
GCGCUCUCAACCAAGCGCCUUCGAGGGGUUUGGCUUGGAUCUGGAGGUUGCUGGCGGAGGUCGGCUCCUCUGAAAUGCAUUAGCGAUCAGACCCAGUGCUACGGCCUUCCGGCGUGAUAACGAUCGUCGACGGGCUGGACGGGCUCUGAUCGCUUCCAACGGAAGCAAUCAUCACA